RNAcentral lists this long non-coding RNA (648 nucleotides) under Homo sapiens (human). RNAcentral describes it as "HSALNT0405747". The record is from RNAcentral. Lineage: Eukaryota; Metazoa; Chordata; Mammalia; Primates; Hominidae.
CGCUGUGGAGCCGCGCAGGGUCUAGGGCGACUCUCUGAGGGAGCCGCGGCCGCCAGGCUCCGUGGGUUUUGGUUCAGGCGCCGGUGUGCCCAAGGAUGUUGUAGAACUCUGUCUAGCCACAGUGUGGGGAUGGGGAGCUCCCGCCGACAGACUCUGUUGCUUUCUGGCUUGGCCGCUGGUUGUCCCUUGCUCCUGGAAGGUCACCAUAUUGAUGCCAAACUCAGUGUGGAUGCCCAAUUGGUAGAGUGCACUACAGCCCAGAACUCAUGGACUCAAGUCAGCCUCCCAAGUCCCUGGGACUACAGAUUCCUGAAUGAUCCGGCGGCAUGGCAGAGGUGGUGCCUACUGAUAUGGCUCCGAUGACUGGAGGAACACCAGGGUCCUUGGUCUUGCGCCAAUGUAGAAGCUGGCCUGUAUAAAAAUUUCUACGACUAGGAGGCAGGAGUCUUGGCUUCCAGUUCUGCUCUGUUGACACCUGACUGGGGAAUUGGACAAAUAACUUGUCUCAAGGUCAUAGUAUCUCCUUGGUCUUUGGUGAGCUCUGACGAUCUGUGAUUCACAGGUGACAAGACAAGGUUAGUUUUUGGUUUGUUCUUGGCCUCCGUUCUGUCUUGUAGAUUCUCAUUUGUGCUAAUGAGACCAAGGCUG